CUUGGCGGCGUGAGGAGAGCUAUAUAAAAGGCCACCACCUUUGUCUCUCUCCUUCCAACUUCCAGCAACCAUUACAAGACGUAACCUUUCCUCUCGAUCAUCUGCGAUCUAUCACAUUGCUAGCUAUAGCUCCAUCUCGUCUAGCUUUUCUACAAGGCUACAUUUAGCUGCUCAUCGUGCGUGUGUAAUCGCAUCAUAUCGGUCACAAGGUACUGAUCUGAGAUAUAUAUAUGGCCGCGGCGGCGCCGAUGACGAUGACGAUGGCAAUGAGGGCAGUACUGGUGGCCGUCGUGCUGAUGCAGUGCUGCAACGUGAUCGUGGCGGCGAGGCCGUUGCUGGAAGCACCGGCGGUAGCGGCGACGACAGCAGACGGCGGCUGGCUGAGGAUGAUCAUGCAGGUGCUACGCGGGCCGGGCGGCAACAACACCGGCUGCCAAGCUCCCAACGGAUCGUGCCGCUGAUAAGAUAAACUAGCUAGCCGGCAAGCAGCUCGCGUCCUGGCCACCCGUAAACGUAACUAGCCGGCCGGCCGGCCGGGGCGGCGGCGGCGCCUCGAUGAACUGCGGCAUGCAUGCCCAUCGUUCGAUCAGGGCCGCCGCUCAGCCCAGCCGGCGGCCGGCUCGCAGCAUGACGGGUCGUCGGUCUAUUUUUGAUCAAUUCUGUUGAUAGUAACGGUCAACUAACCUGUACAUGCGUAUGUGUAGUUGUUGCGUAAAGGACAUUUCAUUCGUUCUUUCUGAAAGAUAGCUAGCUAGCUAGCUAGUUGUUCCGAAAUUGUAAUUGUUACUAUUAAUUCAAUGCAAAAAUACAUGGAGUCUUA
This 820-nucleotide long non-coding RNA is filed under the name Sorghum bicolor (sorghum). Its description in RNAcentral is "long non-coding RNA (SBIC_LNC001768)". The record is from RNAcentral. Lineage: Eukaryota; Viridiplantae; Streptophyta; Magnoliopsida; Poales; Poaceae.